UCCAGGACUCUUAACCUUCUGUCAGAGUAAGUCCUUUAUUGGUGCUGAGUAACCAAGGCCGUGCAUUGGUUUCCUUUAACCUUAGGAAUCACGCCUUCCACGUAGAAUUUAUUCACUGAUGUGAAAUAGAUCUGAAUUCUCCUCUUUUCACCAAGAGGGGUCUUAGACCCAGUGUGUAAAGUUGGAAACCUCUGGAAGUGAUGUUCUAUCCUUGCAGACUGAAGUAUGGACCGCAUUAGUGGCAGAGAUGAGAUAUGGACCACAUUGCUGGCAGGAAACAAGAAACUACGGCAUGACUCUUCUGACCACCCAGUACAUUAACCUGAAGCUUUCAAGUGCGACUGCUUUUGCAACUAAAGCUAAAACCACCCUGUCUCGCAGAGGCAUCGACAUCUAAGGGAGGACCAGGCUGUCGGCAUCGAGUACUCAUUGGACGUGGAAGGAGGCACUGGGCAGUUAAGAAAGAACAGCUCAGCCCAAAGCAGUUCCCAGUGCAGAUGGAAUGAGUGACAGAAACAACCGAUGCAUAGAUGUCGGCAGGAGCCAGCGCAUUCCUAGCUGGAGUUGUCCGGGAGACUGCCUAUAGGAGGCGAGUGGGACAGCUGGUCUUUGAGGACACGGGGCUCUGACCUGUGAACAGGGAGGAGUCCUUGUCGUGGAUACGGCAUGAGUCAAGGGGACGUCCAGAUAUGGCCCUUCCCCUCAUACCAGGCUCUUUCAGAGCGCCCAGCUGAAAUCACUGUCACCAUGCCGGCUGGCCACCGUGGACUGUCUUGCUGCAAGCACUGGAUUCUUGAGGAAAACAGAAAUGCCUCACAGUCUUCAUGUGUCUGAAAUAAGAACAAAGAGUCUCUUCCCAGAGGGACUCAGGUUCGCUUGGGUGUUGUUUGUACAGACUUUGCUCAUUCCAAAGCAGGAAUUACCUUGCCUUUUGUUGCUGACAGUCUAGCCCUCCCAGUCUGAACCAAGUUUGGCCAUUCUAAAAGUGAUUAGAUGGAGAGCAUGCGCCUGAAGGGAGAGAAGGAAUGAAGGGGAGGGGUGAGGCUGUGUGCUCCAGGAGGCAGGGCAGCGGGAGGCAGGUGCAAACCUCCCAGGCAGCAGCCUCUGCCAGCCCAAGUCCCCGGCAGCACCAGUAACUCUCUGGGUUAUUCUCUGGAAAGGGCUCCCGUGUCCUUCUCUGCCAGCAACUGAAACUAUAAAGCAGACACUAAUUGUAGCGAUAAAUUACCAGACCCUUCCCGGUGGGCCUUUGGGUCACAGGCAGCAAGGAGUACCCAGAUCCUACCCCCAGAGAGUUCUGUCCUUCAUUAAGCUUCUCUCUACUCACCCAGUGGUCAGCAUGGGUCCUGAGUUAGCGAUGAAGGCCCAGUGCUUGACAACAACUCCUCUGGCUUCUCUGGUAGCUCUUGGCAAGAGUUCAGACAGUGGGACCAGGUGGUGGCACAGCAAUAACACACUGGACCCACAUGGGAAAGGUCCUGGAUUCACAUCCUGGGGCCUCCCUGAGCACACUGGGUGCGCAGAGGAGACCAAGAGUAGACUGUGGAAUGAAAAGCCUGCGUGGGUAUCUGUCUGUCUGUCUGUCUCUCUCUCUCCCUCAUAGAAGAGGAAAAAAAAAUCCUUAAAGGUAGUAACUACUAGACAGAAAGGACCUUGAUUUCCACCCUGUGCGAAGGGCAGUGCUAACAGGAAUGCCAACUCUCCAACAGUACCCAGCGGUCCUGGUGCUUAGCAGGAAAAUGUGAACCAACACUUCCGUGUUCAAGGAGAAACUCCCCCCAAUGCCAAACGAAUGCAUUAAAUUAGGAAUUUGGAACUCUGUCCUCAUGGUUUCAGUGUGAACUGAAGAGGAAGUGGCAGAAUCUCACAUUUCUGUGACACUCUUUUAGAUGGGCAAGUAGACUGAGGGGCUGGAAAGCAUGUGAUUUGAGCCCAACCCCUCCUGGAGUUCACCUGGAGCGCCAAGUUCCCUUUCUCUCCUGUUAUUGUUAGGCCUUUAAUGUGAAUGCAGAGGGGGGAGAGCAGGGCCCUCCAGAAAGCCUUUGAACAUUUAGUCAUGAGUGCUGCAGUGGGAAAUUUGAUAGGGCUGCUGUGUUGGGUGUGUGGCCACGAGGGUGGUGGGAGGCACUCGCUACACCAUCCAUCAGUCAGUGACAGAAAGCUGGACUCCACUGCGUUCCCCUGGGACUGAAUUCUCUCUGGCUUAGGGGGAUGUCUGAAGCUAAUCGUGGGGCCAGGAAGCCGGCAGUGGGAGACCCAGGCCCUCCAUCACACGGUCACGACACUCGCUCAUCAGCUGCAGAGCGGCCUUAAUGCCUCUUUUCUGUCCUUGCUCUCCAGGUCAAGCUUAACUCCCUGUCUUGUCUAAGAACGUUUAGUGCUCAAGUGUGCCUCACGCUUCCCUUCUGUGUCGCAUCAGUUGUCAUUGACUCAGCACGUCCCAAGUGCCUCUGUGAGAUUGCCCAGAGCACACGUUAAAAACUCCUGUGAUUGAAAUCCAUUCCUGUUAAGUCCAAGCAGGAAAGAGGACAGAAAAUGCCAGGACAGCUAAAUGGGGGCAUAAAGAACCAGAACAACGUAGCUUUUACAAAAUAUAAACAGAUUCAGGGAAGAGGAGAACAGACCUCAAUAAAAACAGGCACAAACAAGGUAAAUGAGUAAUUAUGCCCCCGUUGCUUCAGGAGCAGAACUCAAUAAGCAGCUCUAAGUCUUCCUAACCCUGUCAAUCCAGGCUCAGGAGUUUGGCGGGGAUAUAGGUCUUUAUGAACUACGUGUGCACGUGCAUUGAAAUUGAGUGUUGCAUUCACAGGAUCCCAUUCCUUUCCAUUUUACCUGAUACUCUCCUUUAGGGUAAAGGUAUAAAACACAUUUAAGGUUCUUUGCGUUUUUCCUGGCAAUAAUUGGCAGUUACUCAGCUCCUGUGGGUGCCAUAAAUAAGGAGCAGACAAGGAGACCAGGUUGCUGUCGUUAGCACUGGUUUUAACUGGAUUGGACCAGUGUCAACUUGUAUAUUUGUCAUGCUCUUGUUUGAGAUCACCCCACCCACUUUAUAC
Molecule: long non-coding RNA, 3053 nt
Organism: Tupaia belangeri chinensis (Chinese tree shrew)
Lineage: Eukaryota; Metazoa; Chordata; Mammalia; Scandentia; Tupaiidae
Exons: 3
Source: RefSeq, a predicted model, not a curated record